GUGCCAGCCGCCGCGGUAAUACGGAGGGUGCGAGCGUUAAUCGGAAUUACUGGGCGUAAAGGGCGCGUAGGCGGUCGCGCAAGUCGGGUGUGAAAGCCCCGGGCUCAACCUGGGAAUUGCAUUCGAUACUGCGUAACUAGAGUCUGGUAGAGGGAAGCGGAAUUCCGCAUGUAGCGGUGAAAUGCGUAGAUAUGCGGAGGAACACCAGUGGCGAAGGCGGCUUCCUGGACCAAGACUGACGCUGAGGCGCGAAAGCGUGGGGAGCAAACAGGAUUAGAUACCCUGGUAGUCCACGCCCUAAACGAUGAGGACUAGACGUUGGGGGGAUAAAACCCUUUAGUGUCGCAGCUAACGCGUGAAGUCCUCCGCCUGGGGAGUACGGCCGCAAGGUUGAAACUUAAAUGAAUUGACGG
RNAcentral lists this ribosomal RNA (413 nucleotides) under uncultured bacterium. Its description in RNAcentral is "bacterial SSU rRNA". It matches the Rfam family "Bacterial small subunit ribosomal RNA", at positions 505 to 916 of the family's 1533-position model. The record is from RNAcentral.